This 468-nucleotide ribosomal RNA is filed under the name uncultured bacterium. RNAcentral describes it as "partial 16S ribosomal RNA". It matches the Rfam family "Bacterial small subunit ribosomal RNA", at positions 28 to 507 of the family's 1533-position model. The record is from RNAcentral.
GACGAACGCUGGCGGCGUGCUUAACACAUGCAAGUCGAACGGAAAGGGCCUGCUUUUUUGGGCUGCUCGAGUUGCGAACGGGUGAGUAACACGUGAGUAAUCUACCCUUGACUUUGGGAUAACUUCCAGAAACUGGGGCUAAUACCUGCUAGGUGCUCCCGCUGCAUGGCGUGGGUGGGAAAGUUUCGGCGGUCGGGGUUGGUCUGGCGGCUUAUAAGCUUGUUGGUGAGGAAGUGGCUUACGAAGGCUGGGACGGGUAGCCGGCUUGGGAGGGUGACCGGGCACAGUGGGACUGGGGAACGGCCAAGAGUCAUACGGGAGGCAGCAGUGGGGAAUAGUGCAAGAUGGGCGGAGGCAGGAUGCAGGAACGUCGCGUGCGGGAGGACGGCCAUCGGGUUGGAAACCGCUUUCGGCUAAGAGGAAGCGGGAGUGACGGUAAUGGGUAAGGAAGCAACGGCUAACUACGUG